This 1048-nucleotide long non-coding RNA is filed under the name Homo sapiens (human). RNAcentral's name for it is "HSALNT0150535". The record is from RNAcentral. Lineage: Eukaryota; Metazoa; Chordata; Mammalia; Primates; Hominidae.
GACAGGGUCUUGCUCUGUUGCCCAGGCAGAAGCACAGUGAUGUGAUCAUGGCUCACUGCAGCCUCAACCUCCUGAGCUCAAGUGAUCCUUCCAUCUCAGCCUCCCAAGUAACUGGGACCACAGGCAGAUGCCACCAUGCCCAGUGACUCCGUUCACAUGCUCCCGUCUUGUCAUCAAGCCCUGUUCAUCUCUCACCAUCUCUCACCUGGACCAUUGCCAGUUUCUGAGCUGCCUGCUCUUGAAUACCAGCUUCCUGAAAAUAUCACCAAAACGAUCUGGUCCUCAGACAAAGCAGAGUCUAUUGCUCACUGCAGUAACAGAGAGCUCCGUCUUCAGAGUCUUGGUAACAUUUCGCUGAGAGGACAACCCAAUCACACUGUUUAGGAGAUUUUGGAUUCUGACUAAGGUGAGUCUGACAAUGUGGGGUCUUGGCAAAUAAUCAUGAUGAAAUAGUUUAAGAUGAGAAGACACAGCAAAGUAAGGAUUUUGAGGCAAAGGGUUCAAACAAUCUUAGAGUAUAAACUGCUUUUUAUUGAUGUAACUCUGAAGAUGUUCCUGGAGUAAAAAAAGGAAGUUAUUUGCAAAUUUUACCUCCAGGGUGAGAGCUUCUGGAAUAAGAAAUUUCUGCUGAUGAAGAUCGUAAACUGUGUGGGUGUAGCUGGUUUUGCCUGUCACCUCCAUGCCUCCUAUCUCAAACUCUUCCACUUCGUUAGCAACAGCAACAAUAAUAACAAUAGUUACAAUAUGAGUAGCAGCAAAUAUUUAGCUCUCAUUAAAUGCCAAGCACUGUCCUAAGCAUUUUACAAAUACUGUCUCAUUAAAGUUCGCCAUAAUCCUAUGGUAUUGGCACUAUUUUUGUCCACAUUAUACAAAUGUAAACACUGAAGCAGCUUAGAGAGGACAAGUUAUUUGACCAAGUCACACAGUACCUUCCCACUGUCAGAGUUCUAUCAGAAAUGAAAAUUUGAUAAUUGCACACUCUUGCAUAAACUUUUUCAAAGAUUCCCUGUUGCCUAAAACAUAAAAAUCUUGAUUUCUUCAAAUGGUA